GCCGAGAUAGCUCAGUUGGUAGAGCAGUGGACUGAAAAUCCACGUGUCCGGAGUUCAAGUCUCCGUCUUGGCA
Molecule: transfer RNA, 73 nt
Filed under: Oscillatoriales cyanobacterium
Lineage: Bacteria; Bacillati; Cyanobacteriota; Cyanophyceae; Oscillatoriales
Also listed under: 17 other names
Description: tRNA-Phe
Rfam family: tRNA
About the family: Transfer RNA (tRNA) molecules are approximately 80 nucleotides in length. Their secondary structure includes four short double-helical elements and three loops (D, anti-codon, and T loops).
Source: RNAcentral